This 531-nucleotide ribosomal RNA is filed under the name uncultured bacterium. RNAcentral's name for it is "partial 16S ribosomal RNA". It matches the Rfam family "Bacterial small subunit ribosomal RNA", at positions 355 to 878 of the family's 1533-position model. The record is from RNAcentral.
UGGGGAAUAUUGCACAAUGGGCGCAAGCCUGAUGCAGCCAUGCCGCGUGUGUGAAGAAGGCCUUCGGUUGUAAAGCACUUCAGCGAGGAGGAAGGUGGUGGACUUAAUACGUUCAUCAAUUGACGUUACUCGCAGAAGAAGCACCGGCUAACUCCGCGCCAGCAGCCGCGGUAAUACGGAGGGUGCAAGCGUUAAUCGGAAUUACUGGGCGUAAAGCGCNCGCAGGCGGUUUGUUAAGUCAGAUGUGAAAUCCCCGGGCUCAACCUGGGAACUGCAUUUGAAACUGGCAAGCUAGAGUCUCGUAGAGGGGGGUAGAAUUCCAGGUGUAGCGGUGAAAUGCGUAGAGAUCUGGAGGAAUACCGGUGGCGAAGGCGGCCCCCUAGACGAAGACUGACGCUCAGGUGCGAAAGCGUGGGGAGCAAACAGGAUUAGAUACCCCUGGUAGUCCACGCUGUAAACGAUGUCGAUUUUGGAGGUUGUGCCCUUGAGGCGUGGCUUCCGGAGCUAACGCGUUAAAUCGACCGCCUGGGG